RNAcentral lists this transfer RNA (70 nucleotides) under Dipodomys ordii (Ord's kangaroo rat). It matches the Rfam family "tRNA". From Rfam's summary of the family: Transfer RNA (tRNA) molecules are approximately 80 nucleotides in length. Their secondary structure includes four short double-helical elements and three loops (D, anti-codon, and T loops). The record is from Rfam by way of RNAcentral. Lineage: Eukaryota; Metazoa; Chordata; Mammalia; Rodentia; Heteromyidae.
GGGCAUGUGGCUUAGUGGCAGAGUGCUUGCCUAGCAUGCAUGAAGCCCUGGGUUCAAUUCCCCAGUACCA